Molecule: ribosomal RNA, 499 nt
Filed under: Lasiodiplodia theobromae
Lineage: Eukaryota; Fungi; Ascomycota; Dothideomycetes; Botryosphaeriales; Botryosphaeriaceae
Description: eukaryotic LSU rRNA
Rfam family: 5.8S ribosomal RNA (bases 153-306)
Source: RNAcentral
GCGGAAGGAUCAUUACCGAGUUUUCGAGCUUCGGCUCGACUCUCCCACCCUUUGUGAACGUACCUCUGUUGCUUUGGCGGCUCCGGCCGCCAAAGGACCUUCAAACUCCAGUCAGUAAACGCAGACGUCUGAUAAACAAGUUAAUAAACUAAAACUUUCAACAACGGAUCUCUUGGUUCUGGCAUCGAUGAAGAACGCAGCGAAAUGCGAUAAGUAAUGUGAAUUGCAGAAUUCAGUGAAUCAUCGAAUCUUUGAACGCACAUUGCGCCCCUUGGUAUUCCGGGGGGCAUGCCUGUUCGAGCGUCAUUACAACCCUCAAGCUCUGCUUGGAAUUGGGCACCGUCCUCACUGCGGACGCGCCUCAAAGACCUCGGCGGUGGCUGUUCAGCCCUCAAGCGUAGUAGAAUACACCUCGCUUUGGAGCGGUUGGCGUCGCCCGCCGGACGAACCUUCUGAACUUUUCUCAAGGUUGACCUCGGAUCAGGUAGGGAUACCCGCU